AUUCAAAAGUUAGGUUCUUCUACGGUUAAUAAAAAUCUUUCUCUUCGUUUUAAAGAGAGAAAAAUGCUCUCUCCUCCUUGUUACAAACCCAAAUCUUUCAAAGGGAAGUUGAGAUUUUUGUUCUUCUUUUCUUUUGUUGUAAAUUAAGUCUUCGAUCCUUAGGAUCGAUUUCUCUUCCGCUUAGUCGGAUUCUAUGUUCGUUUAGACGAUUUUGAAAUACUUUUUCAAUCUUCAUUCGAGUUGGUUUUCAAGAUUUUCUCAUCUUCUAUUCUCGAUUGAGUUUGAAAUGAAUAAAGUUUUAAAUCAAAGCAUUUCACUCUAUUUUUCAUUUUAAUCUCAUUCGAUUAUAUGUCAUAUGUUUUUAUCCACCGUUCACUUGAAUCCCUUUCUUAAGAGAACCAAACUCUGCUUUCUUUGAUCAGCCCUUUUUGCUGUUAUGGUAGAGCAUCUUGGAUGAAAGAAGAUCAUGUUUGAUGGAUCUAUUGAGUCUUAUUUGAAGCGGAUUCAGAAGAGUUGGCACCUUCGUAGCGGUCCAACAAAGUGUCUACCUGAAAUCUGACACAUGCUUCCUCUGAUGUACUUUCCGGUGAACUAGAACCUCUAUGUUUAUGUAGUCACGACUUUGGUGAAAGUCAACCUCAUUCAAGUGGUUUCAAUUUGGAAGAUCUAGCCUUUGCUUAAUGAUUUUGUUUCUCUUUCAUCUGGCGGAGGAGUAGACGUUGAGAUCUCGACGAAGAAAUGGCGGCUCAUUUCAACAUUUUUCAGGAAGGACACAUUGCAUCUACAUUGAAGAAGAAGACCAAAACACAUGUUCCUUUUUAUGUUUCUCUAAAUUUGUUGAGCUAUUUGGGCUUAUGUAUGAAGCUUAAAGAUUGACCAAAAAAAAGAGUGCAUUACUCUAUCGGCCACGUUUUUGUUUGUUUUCCUUCAUUUUGAGUCACUUUCCAUUUAGAAGGCACAUUCACGAAGAAUGAGAAAGGUUGUGAACUCUUUUGGCCUUAAUGAAACAAAACUGAAUGUGAGACUCGUUAAAACAAAUUUAGGUUAUAAGUGGAAUUUAGGUUUAUUUAGCUUUUAGGCAUUAAUUAGGUUAGAUCUCUAGAUAAAUGGGCUUCUAUAAGAGACACAAGAUCGUAAAGCAGAAGGUUAAUCCAAACUGUUCACAUUAAAACAUAAGUAUAGUAAUUAUUUAAAAAAGUUUUUUUUACCCCAUCAUGUUUUUUGCUUUAUUAUUUUGUUAUCGAAUUGUAAAAUCAUAUAUACCAUAUGAAAUAAAAAUACUUUUUCUUUAUUUUGAUAUCCAUAUAUAUAUACUUUAAUAUUAUAUAAAAUCUUAAUUUGUUAAAUACUAGUUUUAAGGACAUAAAAAGUGUGGAUAUGGAAAACAUGGAUAGAAGACGUGGGGACAUAGAGAAUAUAGAAAAAGGUUUUGUUGAGUAGGGAAAUAUGGAUGAGAAAGUUUUUUUUGUUCACAACUACUGCAUUUCACUUAACUUAAAAAUGGGUUCAUUACAAAAGCUCGGAGAGCUUGUUUUGCAAGACCAUCCUCAAAACAGAGAGAGGAUCGAUUGACAUAAUGAAAGGAAGCCAAAUCAAAUUGAGCAGAUAAAAGAUUGAUACCGGCAAGGAUUGCAUGGAGAUCAGAGAUGGGGAGUCGAUCAACAAUUGCUGACACUAACUGUAGAGAGUCCGAUUCAAAUAUCACCUUCCUUAGCUGCAAGGCGAUUGCAUGUUCCAUCGCCGAUUGUACUACUAGUCCUUCUGCCACGAGAGACGAGCUUACGUACGCCAUAGAGUCACUGUGAGAGUAAAGUCUCUCAUUUCGAUUAUCGGAGAAGCUCCACGCCACUCCAUCUGCCAUGUGUUCCUUAUUCCAAGCUGCAUCUGACCUACCAAUCACCUCGGUAACCGAGGAUUGCUGGCCCCGGGAUGGAUUUUGAUUAGGAGAUUGGUGCGAUUAUCCAUGUGGCCAAAGGGAAGUUAUAAAGUCCGGUAGGUGAGAGUGUAAUGGCUUUCAAUGCCAACUUCCAACAAUCAUUGAAGGAGCUCAGAGGCAGUGGAUCAAAUCCGCCUAAAACAGGUACCAAUUCCCAUACUUUUUGUGCAAAAGGACAUUGAAAUAGAUGUAGAAUCGAUUCAGAUCCGUCACAAUGAAUGCACUUUGCGUUAGGUAGGAUAUGUCUUCUCAUCAGUAUAUCUCCGAUUGGGAUUCCUCCAUGCUUAAUCUUCCAAAUUAGUAAUUUCAACUUAGGAGCUAUAGGUAGUUUCCAUACGUCUUCUAUCCAGUUUUGGGCCGGUGUUAGAGUCUCUAAGACUGAGGAAAGGUGAUUCUCGAGAGCUGCAUAAUAACCUGUCUUUACUGAGUAGGAACCUGGUUGGUGAUUCAACCAGUAUAUCUCUGCGAAGUAAGGGGAAUAGCCGUUCGACUUUCUCGAUAUCCCUUUCUCAAGAUUGGUCUUUGAAUAGUUCUGAAACUUUGAACUCCGAGGAAGCUUCAGUGGCAGGGCCCAUAGGGCAUACUCUUGCGUUUGAAGACAGACAUGGUUCUCUCCAAAUUCUAGCGUCUUGGCCAUCUACAAUUACCCAUCCUAGGUGUUCUUUUUAAAGAUACUCCCAAUUAGGAUCCCUCUCUAACCAUGUUAGCACAAAGAUGGAGUUGGAGCUUGAAGGAAGUAUUGAUCGUGUAUAUACUUUCCUGUGAGUACUCGAGCUAGUAAGCAUGAGGGUGGGGAUAGGAUUCUCCAACUGGUCUUGGCUAGGAAGGCGUCAUUAAAGCUCUGAAUAUCUCUUAUACCUAGUCAUCCAUCUUUCUUAGACUUCACCAUAGUGGUCCAUGCAAUCCAUUCUCCUAUUGUCCGGUGACGAGUCCAUAUUGAGUGUGUGUGGAUGGAUAUUUGUGGACAGUUAUUUGUAGACGAGUAUGCAUAAAAAGCAUGUCCAUAUGUCAAUGUGGAUGGUUAUUUGUUGACAGUAAUUUGUAGACAAGAUAACCCCCGCAACACCGCUGUUCGAAUCAUCA
Molecule: long non-coding RNA, 3019 nt
Organism: Brassica napus (rape)
Lineage: Eukaryota; Viridiplantae; Streptophyta; Magnoliopsida; Brassicales; Brassicaceae
Exons: 2
Source: RefSeq, a predicted model, not a curated record